GGUUAAGUUAGAAAGGGCGCACGGUGGAUGCCUUGACACUAGGAGUCGAUGAAGGACGGGACUAACGCCGAUAUGCUUCGGGGAGCUGUAAGUAAGCUUUGAUCCGAAGAUUUCCGAAUGGGGAAACCCACCAUACGUAAUGGUAUGGUAUCCUUAUCUGAAUACAUAGGGUAAGGAAGACAGACCCAGGGAACUGAAACAUCUAAGUACCUGGAGGAAGAGAAAGCAAAUGCGAUUUCCUGAGUAGCGGCGAGCGAAACGGAACAUAGCCCAAACCAAGAGGCUUGCCUCUUGGGGUUGUAGGACAUUCUAUACGGAGUUACAAAGGAACGAGGUAGACGAAGCGACCUGGAAAGGUCCGUCGUAGAGGGUAACAACCCCGUAGUCGAAACUUCGUUCUCUCUUGAAUGUAUCCUGAGUACGGCGGAACACGUGAAAUUCCGUCGGAAUCUGGGAGGACCAUCUCCCAAGGCUAAAUACUCCCUAGUGAUCGAUAGUGAACCAGUACCGUGAGGGAAAGGUGAAAAGCACCCCGGAAGGGGAGUGAAAGAGAUCCUGAAACCGUGUGCCUACAAAUAGUCAGAGCCCGUUAACGGGUGAUGGCGUGCCUUUUGUAGAAUGAACCGGCGAGUUACGAUCCCGUGCGAGGUUAAGCUGAAGAGGCGGAGCCGCAGCGAAAGCGAGUCUGAAUAGGGCGUUUAGUACGUGGUCGUAGACCCGAAACCAGGUGAUCUACCCAUGUCCAGGGUGAAGUUCAGGUAACACUGAAUGGAGGCCCGAACCCACGCACGUUGAAAAGUGCGGGGAUGAGGUGUGGGUAGCGGAGAAAUUCCAAUCGAACCUGGAGAUAGCUGGUUCUCCCCGAAAUAGCUUUAGGGCUAGCCUUAAGUGUAAGAGUCUUGGAGGUAGAGCACUGAUUGGACUAGGGGUCCUCAUCGGAUUACCGAAUUCAGUCAAACUCCGAAUGCCAAUGACUUAUCCUUAGGAGUCAGACUGCGAGUGAUAAGAUCCGUAGUCAAAAGGGAAACAGCCCAGACCGCCAGCUAAGGUCCCAAAGUGUGUAUUAAGUGGAAAAGGAUGUGGAGUUGCUUAGACAACUAGGAUGUUGGCUUAGAAGCAGCCACCAUUUAAAGAGUGCGUAAUAGCUCACUAGUCGAGUGACUCUGCGCCGAAAAUGUACCGGGGCUAAAUACACCACCGAAGCUGCGGAUUGAUACCAAUGGUAUCAGUGGUAGGGGAGCGUUCUAAGGACAGUGAAGUCAGACCGGAAGGACUGGUGGAGUGCUUAGAAGUGAGAAUGCCGGUAUGAGUAGCGAAAGACGGGUGAGAAUCCCGUCCACCGAAUGCCUAAGGUUUCCUGAGGAAGGCUCGUCCGCUCAGGGUUAGUCAGGACCUAAGCCGAGGCCGACAGGCGUAGGCGAUGGACAACAGGUUGAUAUUCCUGUACCACCUCUUUAUCGUUUGAGCAAUGGAGGGACGCAGAAGGAUAGAAGAAGCGUGCGAUUGGUUGUGCACGUCCAAGCAGUUAGGCUGAUAAGUAGGCAAAUCCGCUUAUCGUAAAGGCUGAGCUGUGAUGGGGAAGCUCCUUAUGGAGCGAAGUCUUUGAUUCCCCGCUGCCAAGAAAAGCUUCUAGCGAGAUAAAAGGUGCCUGUACCGCAAACCGACACAGGUAGGCGAGGAGAGAAUCCUAAGGUGUGCGAGAGAACUCUGGUUAAGGAACUCGGCAAAAUGACCCCGUAACUUCGGGAGAAGGGGUGCUUUCUUAACGGAAAGCCGCAGUGAAUAGGCCCAAGCGACUGUUUAGCAAAAACACAGCUCUCUGCGAAGCCGUAAGGCGAAGUAUAGGGGGUGACACCUGCCCGGUGCUGGAAGGUUAAGGAGAGGGGUUAGCGUAAGCGAAGCUCUGAACUGAAGCCCCAGUAAACGGCGGCCGUAACUAUAACGGUCCUAAGGUAGCGAAAUUCCUUGUCGGGUAAGUUCCGACCCGCACGAAAGGUGUAACGAUUUGGGCACUGUCUCAACCAGAGACUCGGUGAAAUUAUAGUACCUGUGAAGAUGCAGGUUACCCGCGACAGGACGGAAAGACCCCGUGGAGCUUUACUGUAGCCUGAUAUUGAAUUUUGGUACAGUUUGUACAGGAUAGGCGGGAGCCAUUGAAACCGGAGCGCUAGCUUCGGUGGAGGCGCUGGUGGGAUACCGCCCUGACUGUAUUGAAAUUCUAACCUACGGGUCUUAUCGACCCGGGAGACAGUGUCAGGUGGGCAGUUUGACUGGGGCGGUCGCCUCCUAAAGUGUAACGGAGGCGCCCAAAGGUUCCCUCAGAAUGGUUGGAAAUCAUUCGUAGAGUGCAAAGGCAUAAGGGAGCUUGACUGCGAGACCUACAAGUCGAGCAGGGACGAAAGUCGGGCUUAGUGAUCCGGUGGUUCCGCAUGGAAGGGCCAUCGCUCAACGGAUAAAAGCUACCCCGGGGAUAACAGGCUUAUCUCCCCAAGAGUCCACAUCGACGGGGAGGUUUGGCACCUCGAUGUCGGCUCAUCGCAUCCUGGGGCUGUAGUCGGUCCCAAGGGUUGGGCUGUUCGCCCAUUAAAGCGGUACGCGAGCUGGGUUCAGAACGUCGUGAGACAGUUCGGUCCCUAUCCGUCGUGGGCGUAGGAAAUUUGAGAGGAGCUGUCCUUAGUACGAGAGGACCGGGAUGGACGCACCGCUGGUGUACCAGUUGUUCUGCCAAGGGCAUAGCUGGGUAGCUAUGUGCGGAAGGGAUAAGUGCUGAAAGCAUCUAAGCAUGAAGCCCCCCUCAAGAUGAGAUUUCCCAUAGCGUAAGCUAGUAAGAUCCCUGAAAGAUGAUCAGGUUGAUAGGUUCGAGGUGGAAGCAUGGUGACAUGUGGAGCUGACGAAUACUAAUAGAUCGAGGACUUAACCAU
RNAcentral lists this ribosomal RNA (2921 nucleotides) under Bacillus cereus. RNAcentral's name for it is "23S ribosomal RNA". It matches the Rfam family "Bacterial large subunit ribosomal RNA". Lineage: Bacteria; Bacillati; Bacillota; Bacilli; Caryophanales; Bacillaceae. The record is from RNAcentral.